AGGCCGGGGGCGUGACAAUUAAUAUGAUAUCAGAGCAUAAGUGGAUAAAUUAUGGCACAUAGAAUUAGACAUAGUAUGAGUGUAGGUGGGUAAAUAUUAGAAAUAUUGGGACGAUAAAGUAUGAGCAUCAUAAUAAACCCAUCCUAACAAAUAGAUAAAUGAAUCUAAUAAGGUUUUACUACUACAAGGUUAUCAUGCCUCCCCGUAGAAUGACAAGAACUACUCAAGGAAUUGCUAGAGAGACAUCACAACCACGGGAUGGUAGCACUCCCCAUCUGACCAGUGGCACCCCUCAGGAGGAGGGAGUCGUAGAUCCUAAUGGGAGUACUUCGAGAGCACGUCAGAAACCAGAUAUGGCUCAGUUAAUGCAGACCCUAAUCAGGAUGGUACAAGCGCAACAACAAAUACAGCAGCAAAUGCUUGAACAACAGCAAAUACAACGAGAUACACAACAACAUCAGCAUCCAUCACCACAACAUGGAGAGCAACCAGUACAACGGAA
This 502-nucleotide long non-coding RNA is filed under the name Elaeis guineensis (African oil palm). RNAcentral describes it as "long non-coding RNA (EGUI_LNC044164)". Lineage: Eukaryota; Viridiplantae; Streptophyta; Magnoliopsida; Arecales; Arecaceae. The record is from RNAcentral.